RNAcentral lists this long non-coding RNA (856 nucleotides) under Homo sapiens (human). RNAcentral describes it as "HSALNT0320402". Lineage: Eukaryota; Metazoa; Chordata; Mammalia; Primates; Hominidae. The record is from RNAcentral.
AGUAAAGAAAGCAGCUUGCCAACUUGUUCAUCCAAUUGCUCUAAAUAAUCUCUUUCCAGGAAUCAAGUGAUUCAAGAGGCAGGGACUGUUGCUUCUUCAUUUCACUGUCUAAAGGAACCAUAUGUUACCAUUCUUAUUCAGAGGGGAACACUCCUGAGGAUCUUGAUUAAAGGCAACUCAUGCCACCAACGGUAUUUCUAUGAUCUACCUACUAUGGAGCUGAAAAGUAAAGAUGGAAAUAAGCCUAUCUACAAACAGGAUGCUCUCUAUCAAGAGUCAUGAGAAUUGUCUUCAGAGGGUGCUGAAGAGACAUCAACCUGUCUUCUUUGAGACUCCUAGUGUUGGUGUGGAAGAUGCUACUGGAGACAACAGGUUCCUCCAGGCCUGAUUGCUUGGUCAAUUGUGAAUCACCUUUGAUGAAACAUACUCCGGCAUAAGAUGAGCCAGCGUGUGGCACCUGGCAUUUCAUUAAACAAUUGCACUGACUUAGAGGAUGCCCAGGAACCCAGACCACUACAUACACCAAAUCUCUUUUCUGAAAAUCCAUGGAGAAAUUUUUCCAGAAUACCCACUUGGAAAAGAGAAGAAGUACAUACCCCUUCAUCUUAGGUCAUGUCUUUUUCUGAGGUCCUAUUUCAGUAGUACAGACGCCUCUGAGCUGAAGAGAGGUAAAGAAAAGAACAUGCUGUCUCGCACACAAAAUCUUUGACUGACCACCAGCCACCUCCCAGUAUCUGGAGAAAUUCUGGCCUCACGAACUGUCCGCAAAGCUUUGAGUGAUAAAGUCCUGCAGAAACUUUAAGAGCAACUAACUCUCCCAGGGCAUGCCAACGAUACUUGAUUUAAAGCAUAACAG